RNAcentral lists this ribosomal RNA (119 nucleotides) under Helianthus annuus (common sunflower). Lineage: Eukaryota; Viridiplantae; Streptophyta; Magnoliopsida; Asterales; Asteraceae. The record is from RNAcentral.
GGUUAUGAUCAUACCAACACUAAUGCACCGGAUCCCAUCAGAACUCCACAGUUAAGCGUGAUUGGGCGAGAGUAGUACUAGGAUGGGUGACCCCCUAGGAAGUCCUCGUGUUGCAACCC